This 1546-nucleotide long non-coding RNA is filed under the name Cricetulus griseus (Chinese hamster). RNAcentral describes it as "lncRNA (ENSCGRG00015042038.1)". The record is from RNAcentral. Lineage: Eukaryota; Metazoa; Chordata; Mammalia; Rodentia; Cricetidae.
UAAAUUUAGAGUCCAAUUUUUGAAAAGGCCAAAAUGAGCUCUCCUAGCAUGAAGUGUGUCAGGACAAUAGGAGAUACAAACCUCAGAGGGCAGCUAACAGAGAGGGGGUGAAGAUGGGCUCCUUUGUAGCCAGAGAAACUGAGAGAGAGAGAGAGAGAGAGAGAGAGAGAGAGAGAGAGAGAGAGGGAGAGAGAGAGAAACCAGGCUUCUUUCUUUCUUCCUUUUAUUUCCUUUAAAUGUAAUAUCUUUUCAAAGUAAGCCUUUGAAGGAGUUGAGUAUCACACCCUCUGCUCUCUCUGCCCUGCUGCCUUUUAGACAUUGUUGUACCAGAGAAACAUUCAGCGCACUGUGGAGAAGCCAUGGGGUAAGUCUUCAUUUCCUCCUCUACACUCAGCCCCUAUCUGACUCCACGUGGACCAGCAGUUCUCAACCUGUGGGUUGCAACCCCACAUAUCAGAUAUCCUGCACAUUAGAUAUUUGCAUUACAAGUCACAACACUAUGGAAAUUACAGUUAUGAAGUAGCAAUGAAACUAUUUAUGCCUGCAGCUCACUACAACACGAGGAACUGUGGUAAAGGGUCACAGUGUUAGGAAGGUUGAGGACCACUGAUGUGGACUAAAGCUUGCUCCCAUCUGAGAGGACAUUUCAUGGCAGGAAGGAUACAGACAACCCACUGCAGUGGGCACUUUGUUAGCUCAAGGAAACUCAGGGGACCGAUGCUAUGAUGUCUGAUCUCCAUUGCCCACUAGACUGCAGACUCCCUUAAGUGACUGGUGAGGCACAUCUCUGGGUAUGUUUGAAACAGUGUUUACAGAGAGGAUUAAGUGAGAGGGGAAGACUGAAUGUGAACUGUACCGUGUCAUGGACUGGAGGUCUGGAGCAGAGUAAAAGGAAGAAAGGAGAAGCCAGUUGAGCAUCAGCAUCUGUCUUCUCUCUGCCUCCUACUCGAUGUGAGAUAAAGAAUUUCCUCUGCAUACAAUCCUGCCACUGUAAUAUUCUGCCCAAUUGCACAAGACAAACAACCAUGGCUUCUGGACCCUCUGACACCACGAGCCUAUACAAAUCCUUCCUCCGUUAGCCUUCAUCCAGCAGCUGGUGGAAGUAGAAGCAGACACCCACAACUAAUCACUGCACUGAACUGGAAUCCAGAUGCAGAGAAGGACGAGUGAAGAGCAAAGGGGUCCAGACCAGGCUGGUGAAACCCACAGAAACAGCUGACCUGAACAUCGGGGAGCUCUUGGUCCCCAGACUGAUAGCUGGGGAUACCAGCAUUGACUGAUCCAGACCCCAGGAACAUGGGUUUCAGUAAGGAAGCCUCAGAAAUCUACAGGACCUACUGUAGUAGUUCAGUACUUAUCCCUAGCAUAGGUGUGGACUUUGGGAGCCCAUUCCACAUAGAGGAAUACUCCCUGAGCCAAGACACACGGGAGGUGGGCCUAGGCCCUAUCCCAAAAGAUAAAAUAAACUCUGAUGACACCCUAUGGAAGGCCUCACCAUCCAGGGGGAGCAGAAAGGAUAUGUGAUAGGUAGGGUUUUAGUUGGGGG